RNAcentral lists this ribosomal RNA (253 nucleotides) under uncultured bacterium. RNAcentral's name for it is "partial 16S ribosomal RNA". It matches the Rfam family "Bacterial small subunit ribosomal RNA", at positions 524 to 776 of the family's 1533-position model. The record is from RNAcentral.
UACGUAGGUGGCAAGCGUUGUUCGGAAUUACUGGGCGUAAAGGGCGCGUAGGCGGCCUUCUAAGUCGAACGUGAAAUCCCCGGGCUCAACCCGGGAACUGCGUCUGAUACUGGAUGGCUUGAAUUCGGGAGAGGGAUGCAGAAUUCCAGGUGUAGCGGUGAAAUGCGUAGAUAUCUGGAGGAAUACCGGUGGCGAAGGCGGCAUCCUGGACCGAGAUUGACACUGAUGAGCGAAAGCUAGGGGAGCAAACGGG